This 795-nucleotide unclassified non-coding RNA is filed under the name Hevea brasiliensis (rubber tree). Lineage: Eukaryota; Viridiplantae; Streptophyta; Magnoliopsida; Malpighiales; Euphorbiaceae. The record is from RNAcentral.
GGUUAAUUUAAUUUUAACAAAACAAAUAUCCAUAAUAAUAUAUUCGCUAAUUAAUACAAGGGAUCAUAUUGGUUCUACUUCUACUCAAGUUUCCUACUUUGAAGAUAAUUAAUUUCUUCAGUUAUCUACUCACUACCGACUUAUAUAAUCAUACUCGUAAAUUUAAGUACAAUACGAAAGUGAGAUCAAUCAGCUUGAUAGCGGUCUCUCACCUUGUUUGAUGCGUGUAGCCAACCACCUUAUUAAUCAGGAGGGAAAUUAAGUCUUUGAAUUCAUGUUCAUGGACCUUGGAAAAAGGGAAUUAGCACACGCUAAAGUGAAAGCCUCAGGUCUAACUCUUCUUUAGCCUCUUCUUUCUCUGGAACUUCAUUUCUCUUGGAAGUAUCAACCAUGGCAGCUCUAGGGUUUCUGGCUUCAGACUCUUCCAUGAAAUCUUCAGGUUGAAAACAUGGCUUCCAAACAGCAACCUGCACAUUCUCUUCCUCGAGUUUUCUUUUCUUUUUGUUACUGUCAGUCUCCUGCUUCAAAUAAUCUGAGCCAUUGAUCAGGCGAUCGCGAGCCUCGCGAAUGCUUCUGAUGAGAGCAAAGAACUUCUCAAUCUUUACUUCUUCAUUAUCUUCAUCGUCCUGAUCAUCAUGAAUUGGAAGUUUCCUCUUGCUUGGAGUCUCCAUGGCAGAGAGUCUAGUUUAUUGGUUAGUUGGAUGCAGGAUAGCAAGAAACCAAAGCUACGGUAUGGCAUGCACUUUCUAGGUUGCUUCCUUCUCUGCUUCUCGGAGUCCUUCAUUUAUAUAUUGU